Molecule: ribosomal RNA, 484 nt
Filed under: uncultured bacterium
Lineage: Bacteria
Description: partial 16S ribosomal RNA
Rfam family: Bacterial small subunit ribosomal RNA
Source: RNAcentral
AUUGAACGCUGGCGGCAGGCCUAACACAUGCAAGUCGAGCGGAUGAAGGGAGCUUUCUCCUGGAUUCAGCGGCGGACGGGUGAGUAAUGCCUAGGAAUCUGCCUGGUAGUGGGGGAUAACGUCCGGAAACGGGCGCUAAUACCGCAUACGUCCUGAGGUAGAAACUGGGGGUUCUUCGGACCUCACCCUAUCUGAUGACCCUAGGUCGGAUUAGCUAGUUGGUGGGGUAACGGCCUACCAAGGCGACGAUCCGUAACUGGUCUGAGAGGAUGAUCAGGCACACUGGAACUGAGACACGGUCCAGACUCCUACGGGAGGCAGCAGUGGGGAAUAUUCGGCAAUGGGCGAAAGCCUGAUCCGGCAAUGCCGCGUGUGUGAAGAAGGUCUUCGGAUUGUAAAACACUUUAAGUUGGGAGGAAGAGCAGUAAGUUAAUACCUUGCUGUUUUGACGUUACCAACAGAAUAAGCAACGGCUAACUUCGUG